UGAGAGUCCAUAGCUACGGCAUAGGAUGACCACUAAGGUGACAGGAAGCCACCAUGUAAAUUCCCUGGUGCAGUAGCUGCCAUGGAAUGAGCGCAUGGGGCCGGAGAGAUGGCUCAGCAGUUGAGAGCACUGACUGCUCUUCCAGAGGUCCUGAGUUCAAAUCCCAGCAACCACAUGGUGGCUCACAACCAUCUGUAAUGAGAUCUGAUGCCCCCUUCUGAGGCGUCUGAAGACAGCUACAGUGUACUUACAUAUAAUAAUAAAAUAAAUAAAUCUUUUUUUUAAAAGUC
Molecule: long non-coding RNA, 290 nt
Organism: Apodemus sylvaticus (European woodmouse)
Lineage: Eukaryota; Metazoa; Chordata; Mammalia; Rodentia; Muridae
Exons: 2
Source: RefSeq, a predicted model, not a curated record